Molecule: long non-coding RNA, 1684 nt
Filed under: Homo sapiens (human)
Lineage: Eukaryota; Metazoa; Chordata; Mammalia; Primates; Hominidae
Description: HSALNT0086419
Source: RNAcentral
UUUUGUUUCCCAUCCUGAAGCUCCUCCCUGAGCCCACUCCUCUGGACUUGGGUGCACCAAACUCCACUUGAUCCUCAGUAUAUUGGCACCCCCUCUUCCCACUACACAGUUCCACUAAACCAGUGGCUCCAUUUUGCAUGCAUCAGAAUCCCCUGUGGGUCUGCUAUAUCAGACUGCUGGGCCCCGUCAAAGUGUCUGUCUCACAAAACAAGACACUCUGGUUACCAGCCCCAGGGGAGAACUCCAAACACUUGUGCCUAUUGACCUUGGCAUCAGAGUCACCAAGGAAAACAGUGCAGUCAAGCACUGAAAGGGACGAUGCUUUGCUUAGGUAGAGAAGACACAGAACAAGACCAGCUCCAAUAGUGUGGUCAGUGUAGAUAGGGUAAUUUACCUAUGCACACUCCUCUUGCACCCUAGAGGAAUAACCCCAUAUUUCUAUCUCGAGUCUGAAAUACUGAAAGCUGGCGGGGGGUGUCUAGGGCCCUUGACACACAUCCAUUGAGUCUGAAAGCUCUCCCCACACAAUGCAUGAGGUGAUAGGCACGGCACAGGCUUUCUCUCUCUGUAAGGAAGUACCCAAGGCCCCUUCUCAUGUGGCCCCACGUGGGUGGAAAGACCAUUUUCCCCUUUCCCGACGGUUUAUCUUUCCUUUCUCCGUCCCUUCCUUCUUCUUCCUUCCUUCCUUCUUUCCUUCCUUCCUCCCUCCCUCCCUCUCUCUCUCCUUCCUUCCUUCCUUCCUUAUGUUUUUUAGAGAGUGAGUCAUGCUAUGUUGUCUAGGCUGCUCUUGAACUCCUGGGCUCAAGCAAUCUUCCUGCCUCAGCCUCCUUAGUAGCAGCAAUUAAAGGGGUAUAAUCCCUGAGCAGGUUAACAGUUUCUCAUUCCAUGUGUCUAGGGAGAGACAGAGAAUCUACAUUUCUACAGGUCCCCGGGCGGUGCUGUGCAGGUGCAUGAUAAGGAGCGUGAUCUGAUGUCUGAUUCACACCAGGGUGUGGGAAUCUCAGAGGCAGAGAGCCCUGGAGAUGAAAGGGACAGAGACCUGGAUUCAGAUCUCAUUUUACAAUGAAGACCCCAAUGCAGAAAGUCAUGUCUGAAAUUCUGAGCUUACUCUUCUGCCUGCUGGGACCUGCUCUGGAUGAGAGAAGGGAGGAAAAGGACUAAUCAGAGGAGCCAAUGAAGUCACUCCAUGAGUUUCCUGAACCCUGCCCAGCUAGAGAUUAACGUCUGACCAUCAACAUAGGACACUGUGCAGAUGGCUACUUGCUGGCGCACAUGAAGACCAAAGCCAGGACACAAGCCCCAGCCCUGCUAAACACGGCAGAGACUCUGCCCCAGCCCACCUCCUGUGAGAAUCUGCUUCACUCCACAGCUGACCCCAGCAUCUUCAUGUGAGGACCAUGAAUGGACAUAGUUUCCAGGAUUUUUUGUGACCCAGGAAACCCGAACUCUCAUCAAAAAUGAAUAAAUAAAAGGAGGGAUGGGUAAGAAAAUGCUAAAAAUCUCCUUUUUGAAUCAUUAACAUUCACUUGAAAUUUGUCUCCACUAUUUCCUACUACCCUAGCAAACUCCAACCUGAAUAGCAUGGGUGAUGGCACUAAGCCCUAUAAUAGAAAAAGUGCCCUUAAGCUCUGUAUUAGUCCGUUCUCUCACUGCUAAUAAAGAUACACCUGAGGCUGGCUAAUUU